UACGAAGGGGGCUAGCGUUGUUCGGAAUCACUGGGCGUAAAGGGCGCGUAGGCGGUCAGCACAAGUCAGUUGUGAAAUCUCCGGGCUUAACUCGGAAAGGUCAACUGAUACUGUGCGACUAGAGUGCGGAAGGGGCAACUGGAAUUCUCGGUGUAGCGGUGAAAUGCGUAGAUAUCGAGAGGAACACCUGCGGCGAAAGCGGCGAUCUGGGCGAAUAUUGACGCUGAGGUGCGAAAGCGUGGGGAGCAAACAGG
RNAcentral lists this ribosomal RNA (254 nucleotides) under uncultured bacterium. Its description in RNAcentral is "partial 16S ribosomal RNA". It matches the Rfam family "Bacterial small subunit ribosomal RNA", at positions 524 to 776 of the family's 1533-position model. The record is from RNAcentral.